RNAcentral lists this ribosomal RNA (98 nucleotides) under Neogale vison (American mink). The record is from RNAcentral. Lineage: Eukaryota; Metazoa; Chordata; Mammalia; Carnivora; Mustelidae.
GUCUAUGGCUAUACCACCCUGAACGUGCUUGAUCUCGCCUGAUCUCAGAAGCUAAGUAGGGUUGGGCCUGCUUAGUACUUGGAUGGGAGACAUAAAGA